UAAGGAAUAUUGGUCAAUGGAGGCAACUCUGAACCAGCCAUGCCGCGUGAAGGAUUAAGGCCCUCUGGGUUGUAAACUUCUUUUAUAUGGGAAGAAAUGUACUUUUUCUAAAGUGCUUGACGGUACCAUAGGAAUAAGCACCGGCUAACUCCGUGCCAGCAGCCGCGGUAAUACGUAGGAGGCAAGCGUUAUCCGGAAUUACUGGGCGUAAAGGGCGUCUAGGUGGGACGUCAAGCGGGGUGUGAAAGCUCCUGGCUUAACUGGGAGAGUGCGGUCUGAACUGACGACCUAGAGGGCAGGCGACGGAGGUGGAAUUCCAGGUGGAGUGGUGAAAUGCGUAGAGAUCGGGAGGAACACCAGUGGCGAAGGCGGCCUCCGAGCCUGAACCUGACGCUGAAGCGCGAGAGCGUGGGGAGCAAACG
This 422-nucleotide ribosomal RNA is filed under the name uncultured bacterium. RNAcentral describes it as "bacterial SSU rRNA". It matches the Rfam family "Bacterial small subunit ribosomal RNA", at positions 355 to 774 of the family's 1533-position model. The record is from RNAcentral.